CCCUUAGAUGUUCUGGGCCGCACGCGCGCUACAAUGAUGAAUUCAACGAGUUUAUAACCUUGGUUGAAAAGCCUGGGUAAUCUUUUGAACUCUCGUCGUGAUGGGGCUAGACCCUUGCAAUUAUUGGUCUCCAACGAGGAAUUCCUAGUAAACGCAAGUCAUCAGCUUGCAUUGAUUACGUCCCUGCCCUUUGUACACACCGCCCGUCGCACCUACCGAUUGAAUGGUCCGGUGAAAUCUUCGGAUUGAGACUUUGAUUUCUUCACGGAAAACGCUGUUUUAAAAAGUUGAUUAAACCUUACCAUUUAGAGGAAGGUGAAGUCGUAACA
This 329-nucleotide ribosomal RNA is filed under the name uncultured eukaryote. RNAcentral's name for it is "partial 18S ribosomal RNA". It matches the Rfam family "Eukaryotic small subunit ribosomal RNA", at positions 1470 to 1796 of the family's 1831-position model. The record is from RNAcentral.